RNAcentral lists this ribosomal RNA (253 nucleotides) under uncultured bacterium. RNAcentral describes it as "partial 16S ribosomal RNA". It matches the Rfam family "Bacterial small subunit ribosomal RNA", at positions 524 to 776 of the family's 1533-position model. The record is from RNAcentral.
UACAGAGACUGCAAGCGUUAUUCGGAUUCAUUGGGCGUAAAGGGUGCGUAGGUGGCGCUGUAAGUCGGGUGUGAAAUUUCGGAGCUUAACUCCGAAACUGCAUUCGAUACUGCGGUGCUUGAGGACUGGAGAGGAGACUGGAAUUCAUGGUGUAGCAGUGAAAUGCGUAGAGAUCAUGAGGAAGACCAGUGGCGAAGGCGGGUCUCUGGACAGUUCCUGACACUGAGGCACGAAGGCCAGGGGAGCAAACGGG